This 85-nucleotide non-coding RNA is filed under the name Arabidopsis halleri subsp. gemmifera. Lineage: Eukaryota; Viridiplantae; Streptophyta; Magnoliopsida; Brassicales; Brassicaceae. The record is from RNAcentral.
GCCGAGCUUAGUAACGUGAGCUUGUAACUCAAGUGAGGGCAAAUGGAGGAGUAAGUGAGUUGUUGGAGGAGAAUCAAAGAAUCAU